Molecule: ribosomal RNA, 447 nt
Filed under: uncultured bacterium
Lineage: Bacteria
Description: partial 16S ribosomal RNA
Rfam family: Bacterial small subunit ribosomal RNA
Source: RNAcentral
AACGAACGCUGGCGGCAGGCUUAACACAUGCAAGUCGAACGCCCCGCAAGGGGAGUGGCAGACGGGUGAGUAACGCGUGGGAAUCUACCCAGAUCUACGGAACAACAGAGGGAAACUUCUGCUAAUACCGUAUACGCCCUACGGGGGAAAGAUUUAUCGGAUUUGGAUGAGCCCGCGUAAGAUUAGCUAGUUGGUGGGGUGAUGGCCUACCAAGGCGACGAUCUUUAGCUGGUCUGAGAGGAUGAUCAGCCACACUGGGACUGAGACACGGCCCAGACUCCUACGGGAGGCAGCAGUGGGGAAUAUUGGACAAUGGGCGCAAGCCUGAUCCAGCCAUGCCGCGUGAGUGAUGAAGGCCUUAGGGUUGUAAAGCUCUUUCACCGAUGAAGAUAAUGACGGUAGUCGGAGAAGAAGCCCCGGCUAACUUCGUGCCAGCAGCAGCCGCAG